UGCAGUCGCACGAACUCUCGGUAUUGAUUGGUGCUUGCAUCAUGAUUUACAUUUGAGUGAGUGGCGAACUGGUGAGUAACACGUGGGAAACCUGCCCAGAAGCGGGGGAUAACACCUGGAAACAGAUGCUAAUACCGCAUAACAACUUGGACCGCAUGGUCCGAGUUUGAAAGAUGGCUUCGGCUAUCACUUUUGGAUGGUCCCGCGGCGUAUUAGCUAGAUGGUGGGGUAACGGCUCACCAUGGCAAUGAUACGUAGCCGACCUGAGAGGGUAAUCGGCCACAUUGGGACUGAGACACGGCCCAAACUCCUACGGGAGGCAGCAGUAGGGAAUCUUCCACAAUGGACGAAAGUCUGAUGGAGCAACGCCGCGUGAGUGAAGAAGGGUUUCGGCUCGUAAAACUCUGUUGUUAAAGAAGAACAUAUCUGAGAGUAACUGUUCAGGUAUUGACGGUAUUUAACCAGAAAGCCACGGCUAACUACGUGCCAGCAGCCGCGGUAAUACGUAGGUGGCAAGCGUUGUCCGGAUUUAUUGGGCGUAAAGCGAGCGCAGGCGGUUUUUUAAGUCUGAUGUGAAAGCCUUCGGCUCAACCGAAGAAGUGCAUCGGAAACUGGGAAACUUGAGUGCAGAAGAGGACAGUGGAACUCCAUGUGUAGCGGUGAAAUGCGUAGAUAUAUGGAAGAACACCAGUGGCGAAGGCGGCUGUCUGGUCUGUAACUGACGCUGAGGCUCGAAAGUAUGGGUAGCAAACAGGAUUAGAUACCCUGGUAGUCCAUACCGUAAACGAUGAAUGCUAAGUGUUGGAGGGUUUCCGCCCUUCAGUGCUGCAGCUAA
RNAcentral lists this ribosomal RNA (835 nucleotides) under Lactiplantibacillus pentosus. Its description in RNAcentral is "bacterial SSU rRNA". It matches the Rfam family "Bacterial small subunit ribosomal RNA", at positions 56 to 855 of the family's 1533-position model. Lineage: Bacteria; Bacillati; Bacillota; Bacilli; Lactobacillales; Lactobacillaceae. The record is from RNAcentral.